UAAUGUAAGGGCAAUCUGGCCAUGACGUGUCACUCCAUGGAUUGCCAAGGUUGACUUGGCUGAUCUGGUUGGCUGGGUUGGUGCCCCUUCCUCACUGCUCCGUGAGACUGCUGAUACUGCUGGGAUGAAGAGGACAACUUUUCCUCAUAGAGGAGAGCCAUUCUCUGAUCAAGGGUCUUUAGAGUAGCUGCACUCCCUUCUAGAACCUCCAAACAAGCUCUUAGAUUGUUUAGGUUUAAGUGGUCAGUACUGUGUUUAGCCUAUCAUUAAAUGACUGGGUUCAUAUCA
This 288-nucleotide small nuclear RNA is filed under the name Chinchilla lanigera (long-tailed chinchilla). RNAcentral describes it as "7SK RNA (ENSCLAG00000021839.1)". It matches the Rfam family "7SK RNA". Rfam says of the family: 7SK was discovered as an abundant small nuclear RNA in the mid-70s but a possible function has only recently been suggested. Two independent studies have found that 7SK RNA binds the CDK9/cyclin T complex (known as elongation factor P-TEFb). Lineage: Eukaryota; Metazoa; Chordata; Mammalia; Rodentia; Chinchillidae. The record is from RNAcentral.